RNAcentral lists this ribosomal RNA (263 nucleotides) under uncultured soil bacterium. Its description in RNAcentral is "partial 16S ribosomal RNA". It matches the Rfam family "Bacterial small subunit ribosomal RNA", at positions 26 to 278 of the family's 1533-position model. The record is from RNAcentral.
AGAAUCAACGCUGGCGGCGUGCCUAACACAUGCAAGUCGAACGCGAUUAUCCAGCAAUGGAUAGUUGAGUGGCGAACGGGUGAGUAACACGUGGGUGACCUACCUUCGAGUGGGGGAUAACGUCCCGAAAGGGACGCUAAUACCGCAUAACAUCCUGCCUUUGAACAGGUGGAGAUCAAAGCCGGGAUCGCAAGACCUGGCGUUUGAAGAGGGCCCGCGUCCGAUUAGCUAGUUGGUGAGGUAACGGCUCGACCAAGGCGACG